AGAGGAAGUAAAAGUCGUAACAAGGUUUCCGUAGGUGAACCUGCGGAAGGAUCAUUAACGAGUUCUGAAAGGGGUUGUAGCUGGCCUUCCGGGGCAUGUGCACACCCUGCUCAUCCACUCUACACCUGUGCACUUACUGUAGGUUUGGCGUGGGCUUCGGGGCCUCCGGGCUCUGAGGCAUUCUGCCGGCCUAUGUAUCACUACAAACACAUAAAGUAACAGAAUGUAUUCGCGUCUAACGCAUCUAAAUACAACUUUCAGCAACGGAUCUCUUGGCUCUCGCAUCGAUGAAGAACGCAGCGAAAUGCGAUAAGUAAUGUGAAUUGCAGAAUUCAGUGAAUCAUCGAAUCUUUGAACGCACCUUGCGCUCCUUGGUAUUCCGAGGAGCAUGCCUGUUUGAGUGUCAUGGAAUUCUCAACCCACACGUCCUUGUGAUGUUGCGGGCUUGGAUUUGGAGGCUUGCUGGCCCUCUGCGGUCGGCUCCUCUUGAAUGCAUUAGCUUGAUUCCGUGCGGAUCGGCUCUCAGUGUGAUAAUUGUCUACGCUGUGACCGUGAAGCGUUUGGCGAGCUUCUAACCGUCCUGUAUGGGACAACUUCUUGACAUCUGACCUCAAAUCAGGUAGGACUACCCGCUGAACUUAAGCAUAUC
RNAcentral lists this ribosomal RNA (649 nucleotides) under Trametes sanguinea. RNAcentral's name for it is "eukaryotic LSU rRNA". The stretch from base 253 to 406 matches the Rfam family "5.8S ribosomal RNA". Lineage: Eukaryota; Fungi; Basidiomycota; Agaricomycetes; Polyporales; Polyporaceae. The record is from RNAcentral.